RNAcentral lists this ribosomal RNA (253 nucleotides) under uncultured bacterium. RNAcentral's name for it is "partial 16S ribosomal RNA". It matches the Rfam family "Bacterial small subunit ribosomal RNA", at positions 524 to 776 of the family's 1533-position model. The record is from RNAcentral.
UACGUAGGUGGCAAGCGUUGUCCGGAUUUACUGGGCGUAAAGGGCGUGCAGGCGGCCUGUUAAGUGCAGGGUGAAAGCUCCCGGCUCAACUGGGAGAGGUCUUUGUAUACUGGCAGGCUCGAGGGGGGUAGAGGAAAGUGGAAUUCCCGGUGUAGUGGUGAUAUGCGUAGAUAUCGGGAGGAACACCUGUGGCGAAGGCGGCUUUCUGGGCCCUACCUGACGCUGAGACGCGAAAGCGUGGGGAGCGAACCGG